UAUUUUGUUGGUUUCUAGGACCGCCGUAAUGAUUAAUAGGGACAGUCGGGGGCAUCAGUAUUCAAUUSUCAGAGSUGAAMYUCYUGGAUCAAUUGAAGACUAAMUAYUGCGAAAGCAUUUGCCAAGGAUGUUUUCMUUAAUCAGGAACGAAAGUUAGGGGAUSGAAGACGAUCAGAUACCGUSGUAGUCUUAACCAUAAACUAUGCCSACUMGGGAUCGGACGAUGUUAUUACUYGACUCSUUYGGCACCUUACGAGAAAUCAAAGUGCUUGGGCUCCAGGGGGAGUAUGGUCGCAAGGCYGAAACUUAAAGAAAUUGACGGAAGGGCACCACCAGGGGYGGAGCCUGCGGCUUAAUUUGACUCAACACGGGGAAACUCACCAGGUCCAGACACAAUGAGGAUUGACAGAUUGAGAGCUCUUUCUUGAUUUUGUGGGUGGUGGUGCAUGGCCGUUCUUAGUUGGUGGAGUGAUUUGUCUGCUUAAUUGCGAUAACGAACGAGACCUUAACCUGCUAAAUAGCCCGUAUUGCCUUGGCAGUACGCCGGCUUCUUAGA
This 556-nucleotide ribosomal RNA is filed under the name Ophiocordyceps sp. Its description in RNAcentral is "partial small subunit ribosomal RNA". The record is from RNAcentral. Lineage: Eukaryota; Fungi; Ascomycota; Sordariomycetes; Hypocreales; Ophiocordycipitaceae.